This 253-nucleotide ribosomal RNA is filed under the name uncultured Gammaproteobacteria bacterium. RNAcentral describes it as "partial 16S ribosomal RNA". It matches the Rfam family "Bacterial small subunit ribosomal RNA", at positions 524 to 776 of the family's 1533-position model. Lineage: Bacteria; Pseudomonadati; Pseudomonadota; Gammaproteobacteria. The record is from RNAcentral.
UACGGAGGGUGCAAGCGUUAAUCGGAAUUACUGGGCGUAAAGCGUGCGCAGGCGGUUUGCUAAGUCAGAUGUGAAAGCCCCGGGCUUAACCUGGGAACGGCAUUUGAUACUGGCAAACUAGAGUGUGGUAGAGGGGAGUGGAAUUCCUCAUGUAGCGGUGAAAUGCGUAGAUAUGAGGAGGAACACCAGUGGCGAAGGCGACUCCCUGGACCAACACUGACGCUCAGGUACGAAAGCGUGGGUAGCAAACAGG